This 1922-nucleotide ribosomal RNA is filed under the name wastewater metagenome. RNAcentral describes it as "bacterial LSU rRNA". It matches the Rfam family "Bacterial large subunit ribosomal RNA", at positions 255 to 2066 of the family's 2925-position model. The record is from RNAcentral.
ACCCAGGAAAUAGUGUUAUAUUUUUAUGCAAUUGUGUUGAUAGGGAAAGGUUAAUCUUUAAGUGCUCUAGUUUUGCUAUCUAGUUUUGCUAUUUUUAUAUUUUAACUUAAAUCAAUUAAUUUUGGAAAAAAUUAACCAAAGAAAGUGAUAGUCUUGUAGAUUGGGCUUUAAAAAAGCUUUAAAUAUAACAAUAAAACAAAAAGAACUCUUUAUCCCUAAGUAGCAUGGAGUAUGUGAAAUUCCGUGUGAAUCUGCGAGGACCACCUCGUAAGACUAAAUAUUCAUAAAUGUCCGAUAGUGAAAAGUACCGUGAGGGAAAGGGUGAAAAGUACUCCGGAAAGGAGAGUGAAAAGAUCGUGAAAUUAUAAGCUUACAAACAGAAGAAGAACGACUUAUCGUUUAACUUCGUGCCUGUUGAAGAAUGUUCCGACGAGUUAUGACUUGUGGCAAGGUUAAAAUAUAUCAAAAAUAUUGGAGCCAUAGUGAAAGCGAGCUUGAAUAGGGCGAAAAAGUCACAAGUUAUAGACCCGAACCCGCUUGAUCUAACCAUGUCCAGGAUGAAGCUUAGGUAAUACUAUGUUGGAGGUCCGAACCGACUAAUGUUGAAAAAUUAGCGGAUGAGGUGUGGUUAGGGGUGAAAUGCCAAUCGAAAGCGGAGCUAGCUGGUUCUCCUCGAAAUGUAUUUAGGUGCAGCGAUUAUUGUUUAAAUGUAGGGGUAAAGCACUGUUUUGAUGCUGGCUGGUAACUCGGUACUAAGUCAAGGCAAACUCAGAAUACUACAUAAUAUAAAUAGUCAGUAAGACUGUGAGGGAUAAGCUUCAUAGUCAAAAGGGAAACAGCCCAGAUUACCAGUUAAGGCCCCAAAAUAGUUAUUAAGUGACUAAGGAAGUGAAAAGGCAUGAAUACCCAGGAGGUUCGCUUAGAAGCAGCAAUCCUUUAAAAAGUGCGUAAUAGCUUACUGGCUUAGCCGUUUUGCGCCGAAAAUUUACGGGACUUAAGUAACUUGCCGAAACUGUGAGAUAUUUUAAUCGAAAAUAUCGGUAGAGGAGCGUUUCAUUGUAGAUAGAAGUAUUAGUGAAAACGAAUAUGGACGAAAUGAAAGUGAAAAUGUCGGAUUGAGUAGCGAAAACAUUGGUGAGAAUCCAAUGCCCCGAAACCCUAAGGAUUCCUUCGGAAGGUUCGUCCACGAAGGGUAAGUCAGACCCUAAGAAGAGGCGAAUAAGCGUAUUCGAUGGAUAAUAGGUUAAUAUUCCUAUACUGAUAUUUGCAGUUAUAUCCUUGAUAUUGAGGGACGGAGAAGGUUACGUUAACUAGGAAUUUUUGGAAUACUUAGUAAAAAAUUAAGGUGUUGAAAAAUAGUAAAAAUAUUUUAAGCCAAAAUUUACAUUAUUUACUUUUUUUUAAAAGAUCCGAUAUUUUUUUUUAAAAAAGUGAACAAUUAACAAAAUCAAACUUCCAGGAAAAGCUCGAAUGAAGGGCUGCAAAAUCAUCUGUACCAGAAACCGACACAGGUAGGGAAGUAGAGAAUACUAAGGGGCGCGAGAGAACCCUCCUUAAGGAACUCGGCAAAAUAACUCCGUAACUUCGGAAGAAGGAGUGCCUAAUAAUUAAAAAAUUAGGCUACAAUAUCAAGUUCCAAGCAACUGUUUAACAAAAACACAGGUCUCCGCUAAGUUGAAAAACGAUGUAUGGGGGCUGACGCCUGCCCAGUGCCGAAAAGUUAAUGGAAGUAGUUAGAUAUAUGUCAAUAUAUAUCAAAGCUAAUGACUGAAGCUUCGGUGAACGGCGGCCGUAACUAUAACGGUCCUAAGGUAGCGAAAUUCCUUGUCGGGUAAGUUCCGACCCGCACGAAUGGCGUAACGAUGGCCACACUGUCUCCUCCUGAGACUCAGCGAAGUUGAAAUGUUUGUGAAGAUGCAAUC